This 397-nucleotide ribosomal RNA is filed under the name uncultured bacterium. Its description in RNAcentral is "bacterial SSU rRNA". It matches the Rfam family "Bacterial small subunit ribosomal RNA", at positions 975 to 1375 of the family's 1533-position model. The record is from RNAcentral.
CAGGGCUUGACAUCCUACUAACGAACCAGAGAUGGAUUAGGUGCCCUUCGGGGAAAGUAGAGACAGGUGGUGCAUGGUUGUCGUCAGCUCGUGUCGUGAGAUGUUGGGUUAAGUCCCGCAACGAGCGCAACCCCUAUUGUUAGUUGCUACGCAAGAGCACUCUAGCGAGACUGCCGUUGACAAAACGGAGGAAGGUGGGGACGACGUCAAAUCAUCAUGCCCCUUACGUCCUGGGCCACACACGUACUACAAUGGCGGCCAACAAAGAGAGGCGAGACCGCGAGGUGGAGCAAAUCUCAAAAAGCCGUCCCAGUUCGGAUCGCAGGCUGCAACCCGCCUGCGUGAAGUUGGAAUCGCUAGUAAUCGCGGAUCAGCAUGCCGCGGUGAAUACGUUCCC